RNAcentral lists this ribosomal RNA (417 nucleotides) under uncultured bacterium. Its description in RNAcentral is "bacterial SSU rRNA". It matches the Rfam family "Bacterial small subunit ribosomal RNA", at positions 340 to 751 of the family's 1533-position model. The record is from RNAcentral.
UACGGGAGGCAGCAGGGGGAAUAUUGCACAAUGGGCGCAAGCCUGAUGCAGCCAUGCCGCGUGUAUGAAGAAGGCCUUCGGGUUGUAAAGUACUUUCAGUCGUGAGGAAGGUGUUAAGGUUAAUAACCUUAGCAAUUGACGUUAGCGACAGAAGAAGCACCGGCUAACUCCGUGCCAGCAGCCGCGGUAAUACGGAGGGUGCGAGCGUUAAUCGGAAUUACUGGGCGUAAAGGGCACGCAGGCGGUUAAUUAAGUUGGAUGUGAAAUCCCCCGGGCUUAACCUGGGAAUGGCAUUCAAGACUGGUUAGCUAGAGUCUUGUAGAGGGGGUAGAAUUCCAUGUGUAGCGGUGAAAUGCGUAGAGAUGUGGAGGAAUACCGGUGGCGAAGGCGGCCCCUGGACAAAGACUGACGCUCAUG